Molecule: ribosomal RNA, 253 nt
Filed under: uncultured bacterium
Lineage: Bacteria
Description: partial 16S ribosomal RNA
Rfam family: Bacterial small subunit ribosomal RNA
Source: RNAcentral
GACGAGGGGUCCUAGCGUUGCUCGGAAUCAUUGGGCGUAAAGCGUAUGUAGGCGGUUUAGUAAGUCGGGUGUGAAAUCCCUGGGCUCACCCCAGGACGUGCAUUUGAUACUGCUAAGCUUGAGUAUGGGAGAGGAUAGUAGAAUUCCUGGUGUAGUGGUGAAAUACGUAGAUAUCAGGAGGAAUACCGGUGGCGAAGGCGGCUAUCUGGCCCAAUACUGACGCUGAGAUACGAAAGCGUGGGGAUCAAACAGG